Paralichthys olivaceus (Japanese flounder) is the source of this 913-nucleotide non-coding RNA. The record is from RefSeq and is a predicted model, not a curated record. Lineage: Eukaryota; Metazoa; Chordata; Actinopteri; Pleuronectiformes; Paralichthyidae.
GCGGCCAUCGUGGUUGUGUUUAACUUCGCCAUGGUGCUGCUCAUCUUCCCCGCCAUCCUGAGCUUGGACCUCCACCGACGCGAGGACAAGCGUUUGGACGUCCUCUGCUGCCUGUACAGCCCCUGCUCCAACCGCGUCAUCCACCUCUCCCCGCACGAGCUGUCGGAUGCCGGAGAGCAGCCGCACACGCCCACGACGGCAACGACGCACACGCACCAGUACGCUGCGGGGUCCACGAUCACGACCAGCACCCAGAUCACAACCACAGUGCAGGCGUUCACUCAGUGUGACGCAGCAGGACAGCACAUAGUUACAAUCCUACCGCCUACCUCACAGAUCUCCACCAGCCCACCUUCCAUCAUCCUCUGCCCCACCUCCCAGGCUUCAGCUAUAACACCUUCCCCCACCACCACCUCAGUGCCUGACCCCUACGGCUCUCAGCUCUUCAACCCUACCUCCAGCUCCACCCGGGACCUCCUCGCCCAGGUGAAAGACUCCAAAUCGGGAAAAAAGUGCGUCCCACUCCCUUUCCUACACUGGAACCUGUCCAGCUUUGCCAAGGAGAAAUACGCCCCUCUGCUUCUCAAUCCGAAAAGCAAAGCAAUUGUGGUGGUCCUCUUCCUGGGCCUCCUGGGCCUCAGUUUGUACGGGACAACCAUGGUGCACGACGGGCUCUACCUGACCGACAUUGUGCCACGCGACACCAAGGAGUAUGAUUUCAUUGAUGCCCAGUUUAAGUACUUCUCCUUCUACAACAUGUACCUGGUCACCAUGGAUGGAUUUGACUAUGCUCGGUCGCAGCGGUUGCUGAUCCAGCUGCACAAUGCUUUUAACUCUGUUAGAUACGUGGUCAGAGACAGCGACAGCAAACUGCCCCGCAUGUGGCUGCACUACUUCCAGGAUUGGCUCAGAG